GGGCCCGUGGCCUAGCAUGGAUAGGGCGCAGGCCUUCGGAGCCUGAGGUCGAGGGUUCAAUUCCCUCCGGGCCCGCCA
Molecule: transfer RNA, 78 nt
Filed under: Candidatus Bathyarchaeota archaeon
Lineage: Archaea; Thermoproteati; Candidatus Bathyarchaeota
Also listed under: 1 other name
Description: tRNA-Arg
Rfam family: tRNA
About the family: Transfer RNA (tRNA) molecules are approximately 80 nucleotides in length.
Source: RNAcentral